UACAGAGGGUGCGAGCGUUGUCCGGAAUCACUGGGCGUAAAGGGCGCGUAGGCGGCUUGAUAAGCGUGCGGUGAAAGCCCGGGGCUCAACCCCGGGUCGGCCGUGCGAACUGUCGAGCUGGAGCACUGUAGAGGCAAGUGGAAUUCCGGGUGUAGCGGUGGAAUGCGUAGAGAUCCGGAAGAACACCGGUGGCGAAGGCGGCCUGCUGGGCAGUGGCUGACGCUGAGGCGCGACAGCGUGGGGAGCAAACAGG
RNAcentral lists this ribosomal RNA (253 nucleotides) under uncultured bacterium. RNAcentral describes it as "partial 16S ribosomal RNA". It matches the Rfam family "Bacterial small subunit ribosomal RNA", at positions 524 to 776 of the family's 1533-position model. The record is from RNAcentral.